UCCAGACUCCUACGGGAGGCAGCAGUGAGGAAUAUUGGUCAAUGGGCGCAAGCCUGAACCAGCCAAGUCGCGUGAGGGAUGACGGUCCUAUGGAUUGUAAACCUCUUUUGUCGGGGAGCAAGGCCCGCCACGUGUGGCGGGAAGGAGAGUACCCGAAGAAAAAGCAUCGGCUAACUCCGUGCCCGCAGCCGCGGUAAUACGGAGGAUGCGAGCGUUAUCCGGAUUUAUUGGGUUUAAAGGGUGCGUAGGCGGAAGGUUAAGUCAGCGGUCAAAUGUCGGGGCUCAACACCGGCCUGCCGUUGAAACUGGCUGUCUUGAGAUGUCGAGAGGUAUGCGGAAUGCGCAGUGUAGCGGUGAAAUGCAUAGAUAUCACGCAGAACUCCGAUUGCGAAGGCAGCAUACCGGCGCGCAACUGACGCUCAUGCACGAAAGUGUGGGUAUCGAACAGGAUUAGAUACCCCAGUAAUC
Molecule: ribosomal RNA, 468 nt
Filed under: uncultured bacterium
Lineage: Bacteria
Description: bacterial SSU rRNA
Rfam family: Bacterial small subunit ribosomal RNA
Source: RNAcentral